This 508-nucleotide ribosomal RNA is filed under the name uncultured eukaryote. RNAcentral's name for it is "bacterial SSU rRNA". The stretch from base 78 to 508 matches the Rfam family "Eukaryotic small subunit ribosomal RNA", at positions 1 to 433 of the family's 1831-position model. The record is from RNAcentral.
GGAGGGCAAGUCUGGUCGAUCCUGCCAGGAGGGCAAGUCUGGUACUCUGGUUGAUCCUGCCAGUUUGAUCCUGCCAUAACCUGGUUGAUCCUGCCAGUAGUCAUAUGCUUGUCUCAAAGAUUAAGCCAUGCAUGUCUCAGUAUCAGCACUUUCACAGCUAAACUGCGAAUGGCUCAUUAAAACAGUUAUAGUUUACUUGGUGAUCAAUGGUUAUACGGUUAUAACUGUGGUAAUUCUAGAGCUAAUACGUGCAUUCAGACCUGACUUCUCGGAAAGGUCGUAUUUAUUAGAUACAGAACCAAUUCCCCCCGGGGAUUUUGGAUGAUUCAUGAUAAACGAACGGAGCGUAUGGCAUGAGCCGACGCUGUACCAUUCAAGUUUCUGACCUAUCAGCUUCCGACGGUAGGGUAUUGGCCUACCGUGGCAUUGACGGGUAACGGAGAAUUAGGGUUCGAUUCCGGAGAGGGAGCCCGAGAAACGGCUACCACAUCUAAGGAAGGCAGCAGGC